GUACUAGCUACGGCGGUACAUACUCUAAAAUUGGAACAAUGUAAAGAAGAUUAGCAUGGGCCCUGCGCAAGGAUGACACGGAAAUUCGUGAAGCGUUCUAUAUAUUU
This 107-nucleotide small nuclear RNA is filed under the name Octopus vulgaris (common octopus). Lineage: Eukaryota; Metazoa; Mollusca; Cephalopoda; Octopoda; Octopodidae. RNAcentral also lists the same sequence under 1 other name. The record is from RNAcentral.